GCUAGUUUAACUUUGAGAAGGAACCGUUAAGGAAGGCGCCGGGCGUGACCAGGGUUGGGUCUGGUGUCUGCGAAGCUCGCGAGGGAAGGUCAGGGGCUGCCGCCGCCGAGGUCUUGGAUGGCUUCCGUGUUUUUCCCAACUCUUUUUCCAGUUAGGAUAUCGCAUUGCAUUUGGCCAUCGUUGCUCCUUAGUCUCCUCCCGGCUGACAGCUCCUCAGUCUUCCUGGGUCUUUCACAACCCUGACGCUUUUGAAGAUACUGGUCAGGUUUACGAAGAUGCACCAAAAGGCCACAGCCACACUGCUCGAGCUUGCUGCAAGGAGUCUGCUGAGUAAUGAGCCUGCAGCUAUCCGGGCCCUGGAAGAACUCCCAAGAGACCUCUUUGUUCCAUUGUUCAUUGCUGCCUUCUUGGGUGGGCAUAAGAAGAUACUAACGGCAAUGGUGAGGGUUUGGCCCUUUCGCUGUCUCCAUGUUGGGACCUUGAGUGUACGAGAGUCAUACUACGAAAUCGUGGAAGCCGUGAUUGAUGGUCUGCAGAUCCCCCCUGUCCGGAGCCCUUCCUCUUGGUAAGACUAUAGCUGAUAGGGACAUUGUGAGUCAGCAGGAGGGUAUGCUGGAGCCUGGGGCAGGGGAAUACCUAACAGUCUCCCGAAAGUAGCCAAUGGUGAAUGCUGAGGAUCUCUGUGGGCCUAUUGUUCCAACACUUGGGGUCACCUUAGGGACUCCAGUGUCUUACAGAGUUGAUUAUAGAAUAGAGGUGAUUGAGGAUACUGUGGUUGGAUUUACCUCCUGAGUAAGAAGAAGGACAUGGGUAUUGAGACUGUGGAGGACCAGAGGUGAAGAAAGUGUGGGAAAAAGAAUAAAAGAUGCUAAAUUUGUGUGGAAAGAACUUCUUGGUGAAUGGUAUGUGGAAUGACAACUGGGGAUAAAGAGUUCCUUCCUGCUUCCCAUCAUUG
Molecule: non-coding RNA, 955 nt
Organism: Equus caballus (horse)
Lineage: Eukaryota; Metazoa; Chordata; Mammalia; Perissodactyla; Equidae
Source: RefSeq, a predicted model, not a curated record